Molecule: ribosomal RNA, 475 nt
Filed under: uncultured Geobacter sp.
Lineage: Bacteria; Pseudomonadati; Thermodesulfobacteriota; Desulfuromonadia; Geobacterales; Geobacteraceae
Description: bacterial SSU rRNA
Rfam family: Bacterial small subunit ribosomal RNA
Source: RNAcentral
CCGGAGCUUGCUCCGGUGAAAGUGGCGCACGGGUGAGUAACGCGUGGAUAAUCUGCCCUGGUAUCUGGGAUAACAUCUCGAAAGGGGUGCUAAUACCGGAUAAGCCUACGGACUCCUCGGAGUCUGCAGGAAAAGGAGGCCUCUAUUUAUAAGCUUCCGUAUCAUGAUGGGUCCGCGUACCAUUAGCUAGUUGGUGGGGUAAUGGCCUACCAAGGCGACGAUGGUUAGCUGGUCUGAGAGGAUGAUCAGCCACACUGGAACUGAGACACGGUCCAGACUCCUACGGGAGGCAGCAGUGGGGAAUUUUGCGCAAUGGGGGAAACCCUGACGCAGCAACGCCGCGUGAGUGAUGAAGGCUUUCGGGUCGUAAAGCUCUGUCAGAGGGGAAGAAAUGAGUCUGGCUAAUAUCCAGAUUUCUUGACGGUACCCUCAAAGGAAGCACCGGCUAACUCCGUGCCAGCAGCCGCGGUAAUAC